Molecule: transfer RNA, 71 nt
Filed under: Geotrygon violacea (violaceous quail-dove)
Lineage: Eukaryota; Metazoa; Chordata; Aves; Columbiformes; Columbidae
Description: tRNA-Glu
Source: RNAcentral
UUUUUGUAGUUGAAGUUUGACAACGGUGGUUUUUCAGGCCACAGUUCUUGGAAAAAAGUCAAGCAGAAACU